RNAcentral lists this ribosomal RNA (885 nucleotides) under fungal sp. 1 RB-2011. RNAcentral describes it as "eukaryotic LSU rRNA". The stretch from base 219 to 373 matches the Rfam family "5.8S ribosomal RNA". Lineage: Eukaryota; Fungi. The record is from RNAcentral.
CUUGGUCAUUUAGAGGAAGUAAAAGUCGUAACAAGGUUUCCGUAGGUGAACCUGCGGAAGGAUCAUUAGAGAAAUCUUCGACGGCUGUGCGCCCUCGGGCCGCACGCCGUUUCAAUUUCCACACACGUGCACCUUCGACGGGAGUGGGGAAACCCGUUCCCCGUCGCUUUCAUUGACAAAGUCAGUCUUGAAUGUAAACCCCUUUAUUAAAAAAACACAACUUUCAGCAACGGAUCUCUUGGCUCUCGCAUCGAUGAAGAACGCAGCGAAAUGCGAUAAGUAAUGUGAAUUGCAGAAUUCAGUGAAUCAUCGAAUCUUUGAACGCACCUUGCGCCCCGUGGCUUUUCCACGGGGCACGCCCGUUCGAGUGUCACGUUAACCCUCGCCAACCGGACAGUAAUGUUUUGGGGAAGCGGAUUUGGACGUUGCCGGUCGCGAGAUCGGCUCGUCUCGAAAUGCAUUAGCGGAGUGAGACGCGAGCGCGACGUUGAUAAUCGUCUACGCCUCGUGAGCGUCGAGCCUUGCUCAUAAUCGCCGUGAGGCAAGUUUUCACAGUUUGACCUCGAAUCGGGUGGGACUACCCGCUGAACUUAAGCAUAUCAAUAAGCGGAGGAUUAUCAACCUUGUUCGCUUUUCGGAGCUUGAGCGAGGCUUGGAUGUGAGGGUUUUUGCUGGCUUCCUUCAGUGGAUGGUCUGCUCCCUUUAAAUGCAUUAGUGGGAUCUCUUUUGUGGACCGUCACUUGGUGUGAUAAUUAUCUAUGCCAUUGACUUGCUUAACGAGAAUCUGCUUAUAACCGUCUCGCAAGGGACAACACUUUAUUGACAAUUUGACCUCAAAUCAGGUAGGACUACUCGCUGAACUUAAGCAUAUCAAUAAGCGGAGGA